GGAAGGGUGGCUGAGUGGUUAAAGGCACCCGACUCGAAAUCGGGAGAGCGCUCAAAAGGUGCUCCGUGGGUUCGAAUCCCACCCCUUCCG
RNAcentral lists this transfer RNA (90 nucleotides) under Verrucomicrobiota bacterium. RNAcentral describes it as "Verrucomicrobia bacterium (groundwater metagenome) tRNA-Ser". It matches the Rfam family "tRNA". Rfam says of the family: Transfer RNA (tRNA) molecules are approximately 80 nucleotides in length. Their secondary structure includes four short double-helical elements and three loops (D, anti-codon, and T loops). The record is from RNAcentral. Lineage: Bacteria; Pseudomonadati; Verrucomicrobiota.